Molecule: non-coding RNA, 21 nt
Organism: Caenorhabditis elegans
Lineage: Eukaryota; Metazoa; Nematoda; Chromadorea; Rhabditida; Rhabditidae
Source: Ensembl
UCUUUGGAUCUUAUUCUUGGA